This 503-nucleotide ribosomal RNA is filed under the name uncultured bacterium. RNAcentral's name for it is "bacterial SSU rRNA". It matches the Rfam family "Bacterial small subunit ribosomal RNA", at positions 28 to 525 of the family's 1533-position model. The record is from RNAcentral.
GACGAACGCUGGCGGCGUGGAUUAGGCAUGCAAGUCGAACGGUAUCAUCCUUUCGGGGGUGAGAGAGUGGCGAACUGGUGAGUAACACGUAGGUUAUCUACCCUCAAGACGGGGACAACCCAGGGAAACUUGGGCUAAUACCGGAUGUGAGCAACUUUUAGUUGUUUGAAAGGUGGCGUAAGCUGUCGCUUGGGGAUGAGCCUGCGUCCUAUUAGUUAGUUGGUGAGGUAACGGCUCACCUAGGCAAUGAUAGGUAGGCGGCCUUAACGGGUGGUCGCCCACACUGGGAUUGAGAUACGGCCCAGACUCCUACGGGAGGCAGCAGUCGAGAAUAGUCUACAAUGGUCGGAAGACUGAUAGUGCGACGCCGCGUGAACGAUGAAUCCCUUCGGGGUGUAAAGUUCUUUUAUAUGUGAGCAGUGCUUCUUAUAUUAACAGUAUGGGGAGAGAGAUAUUAGCAUAUGAAUAAGCAACGGCUAACCCGUGCCAGCAGCCCGGUAAUA